CACCUGUUUAUCAAAAACAUGUCUUAUUGAAAAUAAUUUUAAGUCUAAUCUGCCCAAUGAAAAUUUUAAUGGCUGCAGUAUCAAUAACUGUACAAAGGUAGCAUAAUAAUUAGUUUUUUAAUUAAAAACUAGAAUGAAAGAUUAAAUGAAAUAUAAACUUUAUAAAUAAAAUAAAAAUUAAAAUUAAAUUUUAAGUUAAAAUUCUUAAAUAUAAUUAAAAGACGAGAAGACCCUUUAGAAUUUUAUAUUAAUUUAAAUUAAAAUUAAAAUAUUAUUUAUAUAAAUUUAAACUAAUAUUUAAUUGGGGUAAUUUUUUAAUUUAAUAAACUUUAAAAUAAUAAAACAUUAAUUUAUGAAUUUAUAAACCUAAAAUUUAGAAUUUUAAAAUAAAUUACCUUAGGGAUAACAGCGUAAUUUUUUUUGAAAGUUCACAUUUAUAAAAAAGAUUGCGACCUCGAUGUUGAAUUAAGAUUAAAUUAAAAGCAAAAAUUUAAUAAUUUAAGUCUGUUCGACUUUUAAAAUCU
RNAcentral lists this ribosomal RNA (524 nucleotides) under Lysiphlebus testaceipes. RNAcentral's name for it is "partial 16S ribosomal RNA". Lineage: Eukaryota; Metazoa; Arthropoda; Insecta; Hymenoptera; Braconidae. The record is from RNAcentral.